UUCUGAGGACUAGAUGUCGUACCCUCUGCCUGUCUGCUCAACCGCCCGCGUGGGCUAGACGUACCCUCUGCCUCAGUGGCAGAACUAGAGUUUUAUACAUGGGAUGGCCAAGGCUACUUCAGGGGGUCCAUAGAACAUACCAGUAAAUUAGUGUUUAACCCUAACCUGGCAUCUAAGGAGCUAGGUAGAAGUGAUCAUUCGAGGUAGAAGUGAUCAUUCACUGAACCCGGAGUUCUUCAAUGUGGCAGAUAGUGAGGUCCAUAAGGGUUACUUCACUAGAAUUCAAUGUGAGGUCCAUAAGGGUUACUUCACUAGAAUUCAAUGUGGCAGAUAGUGAGGUCCAUAAGAGUUACUUCACUAGAAUUCAAUGUGGCAGAUAGUGAGGUCCAUAAGGGUUACUUCACUAGAAUUCAAUGUGACAGAUAGUGAGGUCCAUAAGGGUUACUUCACUAGAAUUCAAUGUGGCAGAUAGUGAGGUCCAUAAGAGUUACUUCACUAGAAUUCAAUGUGGCAGAUAGUGAGGUCCAUAAGGGUUACUUCACUAGAAUUCAAUGUGACAGAUAGUGAGGUCCAUAAGGGUUACUUCACUAGAAUUCAAUGUGG
Long non-coding RNA from Oncorhynchus tshawytscha (Chinook salmon), 603 nucleotides. The record is from Ensembl. Lineage: Eukaryota; Metazoa; Chordata; Actinopteri; Salmoniformes; Salmonidae.